Molecule: small RNA, 124 nt
Filed under: Budvicia aquatica
Lineage: Bacteria; Pseudomonadati; Pseudomonadota; Gammaproteobacteria; Enterobacterales; Budviciaceae
Description: RtT sRNA
Rfam family: RtT RNA
About the family: This family represents a bacterial cis-regulatory element known as RtT RNA.
Source: RNAcentral
AAAAAAGUCAACGCGUGUUGGAUGAGAACCUAAAGGUUCGAGCCGAGCGAAGCGAGACAACGUUGUCGCAGACAACGGCCCGAAGGGCGAGGCCAAAGGCCGAGUUAUCCUGCACGCCCCACCA